Molecule: long non-coding RNA, 773 nt
Filed under: Linum usitatissimum (flax)
Lineage: Eukaryota; Viridiplantae; Streptophyta; Magnoliopsida; Malpighiales; Linaceae
Description: long non-coding RNA (LUSI_LNC007464)
Source: RNAcentral
GCUGAACAGAAACAACAUUCUGGUGAGUAAAAGUGUUAUAAUGAGUUGCAUUGAAUUGUAUUGUAUACUAUCCUUGGUUUGGUUUGGUUUGGUUCUGACUGGGGUAUAAAUUAUUUAAUUGGUGGGCUGCCACAUUUAAGCAGGUGAAACCUGGAGAACAAAAACAGCCUGCUGCUGGUGAGUAGAGUGAAAGACGAAGAUGAAGACGGGGUUAUAUAUUGAUACAUAUCCCUGUUUGGUGGUUCCCCUUUGUUGAAAGAAAGAGCAAUACCGGUGGUAGUUGAUUUUUUUCUGGAAAGGGAACAUGCAAAUAUGCAACGCAGGAGGAGGCAUGCUAAGCUUAGGGUUGGCUUGCGGGGCCUGAAUAAAGAGAAAAGAAGGAAACUUUUCCCCUGCAUAACAGUUAGAAAAGAGGAAGAGAGAAAGCAGAGCGAGCUUGGGAGAGGAAUUCGAGGAUGUGAUGGUGCAACAACGGUGAAUGUAAAAAAGGAAGGAAAAGGUGGAGUGGGGUUGGUGGUGGUGGCAAAGUUAGGAUAGUGAGAGAAGUAAGCAGGCAGCCCAGUGAGUGGUGGGUCUCUGGGGCUUGUGUAGUUUCUUUAUUGCUUUCUCUUAUUAGGGUUAUUUUAUUUGUUAGAUUAUUUAUUAUUCUCAAUUUCGUUUUCAUGAUGACUUUUUAUUUGCAGAUAUAGAUAUUAGGCAACUAACUAGCCACUUUUUUUUAAUCUUCUCUCUAUCUCUCUGUGUACAACUAUUCCCUGUUCUUUGAAUUUAGC